ACAUGCACUGGCUAUAUCUCCCACACAUCUCUCACACAUCUUCAACACAGUGAUUUUAUCUUAUUUCUCAAAGUCCUACCUCUUAACUAAUCUGGAUUCUAAUUCUUAGUUAGUUAGUCACUAAUUCUAGCCCAUAACUGCUUUUCAGAUGUUGAAGUAGAAGGACUAAUAUUUAAGUUACUACGAAUAUUUCUUACAUCUCCCUGCAUAGGUGCUUAACAUAGAAUUGUUCCCGGGCUACAGUUGAGCAUGGUUUAUUAUUAAAAGUUGAACAUGGUUUAAAAAAAAGGUGUCUGAGCUUUGACACGGAGUAUUUCUAACAUUUGCAAGGAUUGAUGUUUCAUGCCUCUGAGAAAGUACGCCGUAAGGACGUUCAGUAGAAUAGAUUUAAAAAAUAAAAAUGAAAAUGAAAAUGAAAAUGAAAUAAAAAAGUAAGGUAAAGUAAAGAAGAUGAAGAAAAGAAAGGGGGGAAUCGGUUGAAUGUUUUCAUUCAAGAGCAGGACUCCAGCUCCCACAUCAUAUUAAGCCUUGAACUCAUUCAUCCAUAUAACAGAAAGAGAAGCUAACAUUGAUAGAUAGAGUAGCUUCUCUUUUCAUCAUCACCAUUUCAUACUUUCUCAUUCUUCGAUAUACACAUAUGCAUAUUCAUGAUUACAUGCACACUAUUCACAGCCACACUGUGCUUUGAAUCUCAAAGGAGGAAAGGGAAUAUAAGAACAGAUAAUGGUACGAAUGGAAGAAGAAAACAAGAUU
RNAcentral lists this small RNA (753 nucleotides) under Histoplasma ohiense. RNAcentral describes it as "hypothetical lncRNA". Lineage: Eukaryota; Fungi; Ascomycota; Eurotiomycetes; Onygenales; Ajellomycetaceae. The record is from RNAcentral.